GAUGAACGCUGGCGGCGUGCUUAACACAUGCGAGUCGAGCGGACAGACGAGGCGCGUGCUCCUCUGACGUUAGCGGCGGGCGGGUGACAAACAAGCGGACAACCUCCCUAUAAGAGAGGAAUAACUGAGGGAGACCGGAGCUAAUACCGGAUAAUAUAAUGAACCGGGGGGCGGAAGGGAGAAAGACGGUUUUGCUGUCGGGUAUAGAUGGAUUCGCGCCGGUGUAGCUGGUUGGUCAGGUAACGGCUUACCAAGGGAACGAUGCGUAGCCGACCUGCGAGGAUGAUCAGCCACACUGGAACUGAGACACGGCCCAGACUCCUACGGGAGGCAGCAGUAGGGAAUCUUGCGCAAUGGGCGCAAGCCUGACCGAGCAACGCCGCGUGAGGGAUGAAGGCCUUCGGGUCGUAAAACUCUGUUUUUGGGUAAGAAACGAUGUGUAUGAAGCCAUGCGCGUCAUGACGGUACCCAAUCAAAAAGCCCCGGCUAACUACGUG
Molecule: ribosomal RNA, 497 nt
Filed under: uncultured bacterium
Lineage: Bacteria
Description: partial 16S ribosomal RNA
Rfam family: Bacterial small subunit ribosomal RNA
Source: RNAcentral